CAGGGUACACAAACUAUUUAUCUGCCACACAGAGGGAUAAAUUCAGGCAGACAACAGCUGAGCGUGAAGGUGGUAUCAGCUUUUUCGAGACACCAGGGGGUCCGACCGAAAAGACCGAGCCCAAGCAAACCAAACCAAACCAAACCAAGCCAAACCGAAACGAGCGUAACGAGACCAAACCAGACCAGGCCAGACCAAGAGCCACCGAUCCGAUCCGAGCAGAACGGCACAGGAUAGACCGGACCAUCCAAUCCAUCCAGCACAGAUGAGAGAGCACGGAAAAGCGAGAAAAGCGGGAAAAGCGAUGCACUGAAGCCUCCGUCGACGGCCGAGCCAAAGGAGCAACUUUUACGUGAAAAUGUUCAAAAUUUAAUCAAAUUAAAGUGAAUGCGCCGCAGGCGAACAUAUUUCGCACGCCGAACGAAAGAGACGGCAACAGGGCGAGCGAAAGAGAGGGAAGAGAGGCAAGAGGCAGGAUGUGCGACGAGGAUAACAGGCUGGCAACUCGGCGGCGCAAGUUUAAUAUCGAACAUUUGGAAUAUGCAUAUCAAAUAACUAUCAAUGACGUCCAAGGCCUGCCACUUGCAAAUGCUGAAGUCUCGCAACAAAUUAUCAGCGCAAACGUCAGCGGCACCUGUCGUGUCCUGUGCCACGCCCCCUUGGUAAUAUAUAUACCCGCCCCCUCGAGAUAUCACCCUCUGGAAUCUCCGAAAACUCACCUUCAAUACUCCCCCGUCUGUCCGAAAGUUGGGAAAAAUAAAGAAAGCAGACAACGAAUAUUGGCAUAGAAAAUCAAAAAUAAAAUUCGAAAGAGACGGGGAGUUGUGGGGUAGAAAGAGGUAGAUAUAUAUAUAUAUAUGGUAGGGCAGGAGAUGGAGAUGGAGAAAAAAUGAAUUGAGAGUGGGACAAAGAGCAGAUGAUAUUCUGUUGACGUUGAUGGCAACACUUGCAAUUUUGCAAUUUGAUUGUUUUGGCAAAGGCUAAAUAAAUAUUUAUGCAAAGUGGG
Molecule: long non-coding RNA, 1006 nt
Organism: Drosophila ficusphila
Lineage: Eukaryota; Metazoa; Arthropoda; Insecta; Diptera; Drosophilidae
Exons: 2
Source: RefSeq, a predicted model, not a curated record